This is a ribosomal RNA of 1009 nucleotides. The stretch from base 222 to 1009 matches the Rfam family "Eukaryotic large subunit ribosomal RNA", at positions 1 to 638 of the family's 3401-position model.
GUACUCUGCGAAGCCCUGGGCCUUCUUCCUCAAGAAUGGAACUGUGCCCUUAUAUGAUUUUGUUGGAAGAUUUUAUGUACUUGAAAAGCUUGGCUCUAAGGUGGUUCCAGAUUAAAAUGUCCUUGGUCAGCCGGUUUCAUGGAGCAGUGAAGUCUUUUGAGUCGCUAGGAGGCUUAAUCUUAGUAAGUGUUGGCUCAAGAGUGUGAUAUCACGUUUAACAAUGGCCUCAAAUCUGGCAAGAAUACCCGCUGAUCUUAAGCAUAUCAAUAAGCGGAGGAAAAGAGACUAUCAAGGAUUCUCCUAGUAACGGCGAGUGAAGAGUGAAGAGCUCAAAUUUUAAAUCUGCCUUGUUUCAAGGUCGAGUUGUAAUUUGAAGAAGCGUUUUCUUGGGCUCGCGGCCGGUAGAAGUUCUUUGGAGCAGGACAUCAUAGAGGGUGACAAUCCCGUCUGCGACCGGUCGUGCGUUCAUAUACGAUACGCUUUCAAAGAGUCGAGUUGUUUGGGAUUGCAGCUCCAAAUGGGUGGUAAACAUCACAUAAGGCUAAAUAUUGGCGAGAGACCGAUAGCGAACAAGUACCGUGAGGGAAAGAUGAAAAGAACUUUGAAAAGAGAGUUAAACAGUACGUGAAAUUGUUGAAAGGGAAACGAUUGAAGUCAGUCGUGCUGGCGCGAAAUCAACCUUCUCGUCUCGAGAUCACAUGGCGUGGCGAGCCUCAAAACCGUCACGAAGCGUGAACUCUUGGUGAAACGGAGCACUUUCGUGUCCGCUGGUUAACAUCAAUUUCGAACGUCAUAAAAAGGCUGGAGGGAUGUGGCUCCUUCGGGAGUGUUAUAACCUUUAGCGGAAUGUGGUGGUCGGGAUUGAGGAUUGCAACGAAUACCUUUAGGGCUGUUCCACCUGGCUUCUCUUUGGUAUCCUGGUGACGACACGCUUGCUGACGUUUGUUAGGAUUCGCCUUUGAACAGGCUAGAGUGUGAGCAAAUUCGUUAAGGAUGUUAACGUAAUGGC